This 780-nucleotide ribosomal RNA is filed under the name uncultured Buchnera sp. RNAcentral describes it as "bacterial SSU rRNA". It matches the Rfam family "Bacterial small subunit ribosomal RNA", at positions 8 to 775 of the family's 1533-position model. The record is from RNAcentral. Lineage: Bacteria; Pseudomonadati; Pseudomonadota; Gammaproteobacteria; Enterobacterales; Erwiniaceae.
AGAGUUUGAUCCUGGCUCAGAUUGAACGCUGGCGGCAAGCCUAACACAUGCAAGUCGAGCGGCAGCGAGAAGAGAGCUUGCUCUCUUUGUCGGCAAGCGGCAAACGGGUGAGUAAUAUCUGGGGAUCUACCCAAAAGAGGGGGAUAACUACUAGAAAUGGUAGCUAAUACCGCAUAAUGUUGAAAAACCAAAGUGGGGGACCUUUUGGCCUCAUGCUUUUGGAUGAACCCAGACGAGAUUAGCUUGUUGGUAGAGUAAUAGCCUACCAAGGCAACGAUCUCUAGCUGGUCUCAGAGGAUAACCAGCCACACUGGAACUGAGACACGGUCCAGACUCCUACGGGAGGCAGCAGUGGGGAAUAUUGCACAAUGGGCGAAAGCCUGAUGCAGCUAUGCCGCGUGUAUGAAGAAGGCCUUAGGGUUGUAAAGUACUUUCAGCGGGGAGGAAAAAAAUAAAACUAAUAAUUUUAUUUCGUGACGUUACCCGCAGAAGAAGCACCGGCUAACUCCGUGCCAGCAGCCGCGGUAAUACGGAGGGUGCAAGCGUUAAUCAGAAUUACUGGGCGUAAAGAGCGCGUAGGUGGUUUUUUAAGUCAGGUGUGAAAUCCCUAGGCUCAACCUAGGAACUGCACUUGAAACUGGAAAACUAGAGUUUCGUAGAGGGAGGUAGAAUUCUAGGUGUAGCGGUGAAAUGCGUAGAUAUCUGGAGGAAUACCCGUGGCGAAAGCGGCCUCCUAAACGAAAACUGACACUGAGGCGCGAAAGCGUGGGGAGCAAACAG